This 84-nucleotide small nuclear RNA is filed under the name Octodon degus (degu). RNAcentral's name for it is "U4 spliceosomal RNA (ENSODEG00000025798.1)". It matches the Rfam family "U4 spliceosomal RNA", at positions 1 to 83 of the family's 138-position model. From Rfam's summary of the family: U4 small nuclear RNA (U4 snRNA) is a component of the major U2-dependent spliceosome. The structure of U4 snRNA from yeast and human has been reported. Lineage: Eukaryota; Metazoa; Chordata; Mammalia; Rodentia; Octodontidae. The record is from RNAcentral.
GGCUUUGCACAGUAGCAGUAUCAUAGCCAAUGAGGUUUAUCUGAGGCACGAUUAUUGCUAAUUGAAAACUUUUUCCAUAAAAAC